Molecule: small RNA, 87 nt
Filed under: Evansella cellulosilytica DSM 2522
Lineage: Bacteria; Bacillati; Bacillota; Bacilli; Caryophanales; Bacillaceae
Description: Bacillus cellulosilyticus DSM 2522 BsrC
Rfam family: BsrC
About the family: The 301 nucleotide sequence from Kouji Nakamura has been trimmed to a highly conserved ~85 nucleotide long core to form this family.
Source: Rfam by way of RNAcentral
AACAUCUUAAAUAAUGAAAGCCCUACCUCUCUCUCAUCCUUACGGUUCCGAGACCGUGCCAGUGAUAAGAAAAUUCCUUCUUAUCGU